AAGGCAGUGGCGCAUUUGGCAAGCGAGCCUCGUUAUCGGGGUGUCCUUAGGACUUUGUCGGUUCAACUCCGACCUGCCUAUCUA
This 84-nucleotide transfer RNA is filed under the name Caudoviricetes sp. RNAcentral describes it as "tRNA-OTHER". Lineage: Duplodnaviria; Heunggongvirae; Uroviricota; Caudoviricetes. The record is from RNAcentral.